RNAcentral lists this transfer RNA (75 nucleotides) under Candidatus Methanomethylophilaceae archaeon. RNAcentral's name for it is "tRNA-Thr". It matches the Rfam family "tRNA". From Rfam's summary of the family: Transfer RNA (tRNA) molecules are approximately 80 nucleotides in length. Their secondary structure includes four short double-helical elements and three loops (D, anti-codon, and T loops). Further hydrogen bonds mediate the characteristic L-shaped molecular structure. tRNAs have two regions of fundamental functional importance: the anti-codon, which is responsible for specific mRNA codon recognition, and the 3' end, to which the tRNAs corresponding amino acid is attached (by aminoacyl-tRNA synthetases). tRNAs cope with the degeneracy of the genetic code in two manners: having more than one tRNA (with a specific anti-codon) for a particular amino acid; and 'wobble' base-pairing, i.e. permitting non-standard base-pairing at the 3rd anti-codon position. RNAcentral also lists the same sequence under 1 other name. Lineage: Archaea; Methanobacteriati; Thermoplasmatota; Thermoplasmata; Methanomassiliicoccales; Methanomethylophilaceae. The record is from RNAcentral.
GCCACUGUGGCUCAGCGGUAGAGCGGCAGUUUCGUAAACUGUAGGCCGGGGGUUCGAUUCCCUCCAGUGGCUCCA